Molecule: ribosomal RNA, 497 nt
Filed under: uncultured bacterium
Lineage: Bacteria
Description: partial 16S ribosomal RNA
Rfam family: Bacterial small subunit ribosomal RNA
Source: RNAcentral
GAUGAACGCUGGCGGCGUGCCUAAUACAUGCAAGUCGAGCGAACGGACGAGAAGCUUGCUUUUCUGAUGUUAGCGGCGGACGGGUGAGUAACACGUGUAUAACCUACCUAUAAGACUGGUAUAACUUCGGGAAACCGGAGCUAAUACCGUAUAAUAUUUUGAACCGCAUGGUUCAAAAGUGAAAGACGGUCUUGCUGUCACUAAUAGAUGCAUCCGCGCUGCAUUAGCUAGUUGUGAAGUUAACGGCUUACCAAGGCAACGAUGCAUAGCCGACCUGAGAGGGUGAUCGGCCACACUGGAGCUGAGACACGGUCCAGACUCCUACGGGAGGCAGCAGUCGGGAAUCGUCCGCAAUGGGCGAAAGCCUGACGGAGCAACGCCGCGUGAGUGAUGGAGGUCCUCGGAUCGUGAAACUCUGUUAUUAGGGAAGAACAUAUGUGUAAGUAACUGUGCACAGCUUGACGGUACCUAAUCAGAAAGCCACGGCUAACUACGUG